ACGGCAACAGCGGCUGCUACAAGGAAGAGGAGAAGCGUCAAGGUGGCGGCCACAUGGAGUUUUCCGGUGAUCGGACGGUACGUUUUAAAGUGGGAGACUAGAGAAGUGAGAGCUCGAGGUUUAGAGAAGAGAGAUGUCAUUGUUAUGAUUUUUUGGAUAUUAAGGGAAUCUUUGGAGGCUAAGGAAUCUUUUAUCAGUCUUCUUAAUUUUUGUUGAUCUCUCUCUCUCUUUCUUUCUUCCUUCCUUCCAGUCUCUCUUUUUUGUUUGUUCUCUUAAAAUUUUUUAUUUGAACCUAAAAGAAAAUUUAAGCAGGAAAAGAAGAUGCAUGUUACGUGAGUUUGACAAGGACACGACACGACACUGAUGAUGAUGAUGAUGAUAUUGAUAAUGGACUCGUUUUACUACAUUCUUUGAAAUUUGGAAUUUUAUCUAACUAAACUUACUACUCGAUCGUGUAAAUUACGUCACUUUCGUAUUAUGAUAAUCAUAUACGACUAUUCCACCGUGGUGUUAUUGGUUACCGGCUAAACCGGGCGCACUUGUACGUAUUUGGCUUUAAUUGUUUUGUUGUUUUACUUUUCUUUUCCAGCUGUACAUUUGAAAAAAAACAAAAGACCCCCAAAAACCUUUUUUCCUAAAAAAUUUUCAUAUUAAUUUUUUUUUCGAAGUUAUAGUUAAACGCAAAUUAAUAACAAAACAAAACAAAACAAGCCUAAAGACCCACUAAGUGGGCCCGGUUAGAAUAAAUAGCUAGUAAACCAUAGCACCAUUUCGUCUUGUCCUGGUACUUUUUCCGGGUUUAUCACAAACUAGUAUUAUUGCCCAUAUUAUGUAUGGACAAAAUCAUUGUUAAAAGUAUUCAUACCAGAAUGUUUGUUCAAAAUGUGUCACUAUAAUAGAAAACAUGCAUUUCUAUUUUCAAAGGAACAAAAUAGUGUGAUUUAGUGGCAAUUCAUGGAUCUGGUGAUGAAUUUAAAAAAUAUUGAACCACAAUUUACGAUCAAACUAAAGGCUAAAGACAUUACAUCAACUAUAAAUCUAUAUAAAGAAGACCAAAUACAAUUUAAAAAAUUUCAGAUUUUAUAAUGGAUAAAAUUGUUUGUCAUUUUCCCUAAAGCAACAAAACGGUAAAAACUCUCGAAAUAAAUGAGAAAUUUGAAAAUAUUCUUCAAAACAAUUAGCAACAAAAAUAUGUUUGUUCAAAAUGUGUCAUUAAUUUUAUUUUAAAAUAGUAGAGGACACAUGGACAAAAUCAUUGUUAAAAGUAUUCAUACCAAAAUGUUUGUUCAAAAUGUGUCAUUAUAAUAGAAAACAUGCAUUUCUAUUUUUAAAGGAACAAAAUAGUGUGAUUUAGUGGUAAUUCAUGGAUCUGGUUUUGUUGUUAUUAUUGUCGGUGGAUUAUAUGAUUUUGUCUGUAGUAAACAAUUAAAAAUUCAAUUAAAUGAAAAUAAUUGAAUUUUUAAUUACGCAAUGAAAAGAUCUCAACAAUAAUUACCUUGUUUAGCCAUAGAGAUGUUCUUGAGCAAGAACCAGACCGGUUUUGGUUCAAUAAACUUGUGCAAUUUACCAAUACCCCGGUUUUCUGCGGUGAUUCUAGAUCCGGUACCGGUUUUGUUGUGACUAAUGUCGGUCGAUCAAAUUGUUUCGUCGUCUUUGAUUAACAAAAAAAAGAUUAUGUUAAUUUUCUUGAUAACGUUAUUCUUAAGGUUAUUUUCUUAAAUAAUUAUACCUUACUAAGCCAUAGAGAGGAAGUGACGGCAACAGCGGCUGCUACAAGGAAGAGGAGAAGCGUCAAAGUGGCGGCCACAUGGAGUUUUCCGGUGAUCGGACGGUACGUUUUAAAGUGGGAGACUAGAGAAGUGAGAGCUCGAGGUUUAGAGAAGAGAGAUGUCAUUGUUAUGAUUUUUUGGAUAUUAAGGGAAUCUUUGGAGGCUAAGGAAUCUUUUAUCAGUCUUCUUAAUUUUUGUUGAUCUCUCUCUCUCUUUCUUUCUUCC
Molecule: long non-coding RNA, 1994 nt
Filed under: Brassica napus (rape)
Lineage: Eukaryota; Viridiplantae; Streptophyta; Magnoliopsida; Brassicales; Brassicaceae
Description: long non-coding RNA (BNAP_LNC007513)
Source: RNAcentral